GGUAGGAUGUCGGAGUGGCUUAUCGAGCGGGUCUUGAAAACCAGUGAUGCCUAACAAGCACCGUGGGUUCGAAUCCCACUCCUACCG
RNAcentral lists this transfer RNA (87 nucleotides) under Anaerotruncus colihominis DSM 17241. Its description in RNAcentral is "tRNA-Ser". It matches the Rfam family "tRNA". From Rfam's summary of the family: Transfer RNA (tRNA) molecules are approximately 80 nucleotides in length. Their secondary structure includes four short double-helical elements and three loops (D, anti-codon, and T loops). Lineage: Bacteria; Bacillati; Bacillota; Clostridia; Eubacteriales; Oscillospiraceae. The record is from RNAcentral.